Molecule: ribosomal RNA, 497 nt
Filed under: uncultured bacterium
Lineage: Bacteria
Description: partial 16S ribosomal RNA
Rfam family: Bacterial small subunit ribosomal RNA
Source: RNAcentral
GUUGAACGCUGGCGGCGUGCCUAAUACAUGCAAGUCGAGCGAACAGACGAGGAGCUUGCUCCUCUUACGUUAGCGGCGGACGGGUGAGUAACACGUGGAUAACCUACCUAUAAGACUGGGAUAACUUCGGGAAACCGGAGCUAAUACCGGAUAAUAUAUUGAACCGCAUGGUUCAAUAGUGAAAGACGGUUUUGCUGUCACUUAUAGAUGUAUCCGCGCCGCAUUAGCUAGUUGGUAAGGUAACGGCUUACCAAGGCAACGAUGCGUAGCCGACCUGAGAGGGUGAUCGGCCACACUGGAACUGAGACACGGUCCAGACUCCUACGGGAGGCAGCAGUAGGGAAUCUUCCGCAAUGGGCGAAAGCCUGACGGAGCCACGCCGCGUGUGUGAUGAAGGUCUUCGGAUCGUAAAACUCUGUUAUUUGGGAAGAAGAAAUGUGUAAGUAAAUAUGCCCGUCUUGACGGUACCUACACAGAAAGCAACGGCUAACUACGUG